This 364-nucleotide ribosomal RNA is filed under the name Calephorus compressicornis. RNAcentral describes it as "partial 12S ribosomal RNA". The record is from RNAcentral. Lineage: Eukaryota; Metazoa; Arthropoda; Insecta; Orthoptera; Acrididae.
CUAUUAUUUUAAGUGUAAAAUUUUUGCCUGGGUAUUAUUAGUUAUGGUCUUUAAACCCAAAGAAUUUGGCGGUAUUUCAUUCCAUUCAGAGGAACCUGUCUCGUAAUUGAUAGUACACGAUUAACUUUACUUAAUUUAUUUGUUUGUAUAUCUCCGUUAUCAGAAAGUCUUUAUGGAGUUAAAAUUUUCUUGUUUUUUUAUUAAAGAUUAUUUCAGGUCAAGGUGCAGCUUAUAAUUAAGAGUGUGAUGGGUUACAAUAAAUUUUUUUAUUAUGAAUUUAAUAAUGAAGCAUUAUUAAUGAAGGUGGAUUUGAUAGUAAUUUAAUUUAUAUAAUUUAAUUGAUAUUGGCUCUGAGGUGUGUACA